UCUUGAUUUUCAAACUCUAAAUUAAUGACUAUAUCAAAAUUUGCACCUUCGUUUUCUCAAUACCUUGCACCCAUCUUAUCAGAGAUGGCCCUGUUGUACAGUCUGUUUGCCAGUCAAAUUGAUCCCUCAGUUUCACUUAUGAUAAUAUAACACCAUCUACCGAUUUACUAUCAAAUUUCUCAUUAGAUUAUUUAACUCAUAUUUAUUAUCACUUGAGUUCUACGCUUAUACACUGGAUUUCUAGUGGGAAAUCGACGGGCUGGGGGGAGUGAAAAAAUGAUUCCCAAAUGUUUCU
This is a non-coding RNA of Cinara cedri, 295 nucleotides long. NCBI's taxonomy places the organism in Eukaryota, Metazoa, Arthropoda, Insecta, Hemiptera, Aphididae. The record is from the annotation of a GenBank genome assembly.